This 468-nucleotide ribosomal RNA is filed under the name uncultured bacterium. Its description in RNAcentral is "partial 16S ribosomal RNA". It matches the Rfam family "Bacterial small subunit ribosomal RNA", at positions 28 to 507 of the family's 1533-position model. The record is from RNAcentral.
GACGAACGCUGGCGGCGUGCUUAACACAUGCAAGUCGAACGGAAAGGCCCUGCUUUUGUGGGGUGCUCGAGUGGCGAACGGGUGAGUAACACGUGAGUAACCUGCCCUUGACUUUGGGAUAACUUCAGGAAACUGGGGCUAAUACCGGAUAGGAGCUCCUGCUGCAUGGUGGGGGUUGGAAAGUUUCGGCGGGUGGGGAUGGACUCGCGGCUUAUCAGCUUGUUGGUGGGGUAGUGGCUUACCAAGGCAUUGACGGGUAGCCGGCCUGAGAGGGUGACCGGCCACAUUGGGACUGAGAUACGGCCCAGACUCCUACGGGAGGCAGCAGUGGGGAAUAUUGCACAAUGGGCGGAAGCCUGAUGCAGCAACGCCGCGUGCGGGAUGACGGCCUUCGGGUUGUAAACCGCUUUCGCCUGUGACGAAGCGUGAGUGACGGUAAUGGGUAAAGAAGCACCGGCUAACUACGUG